CUGUUGCAACCAACCAGCUGCUGCCUCUCCACCGCUGAUGGCUGUUUGUUCCAGGUGGACCAUGAUGAAAAUUUAGUUCUUUUACACGCAUCCCCUGCUUGGGAUCACCCCGACUGUCGGCACGAUGAACCUCCUUUACCCUCAGUUCCCAGGCCCAGAGUAAAACUUGGAUUCCCUGCUCGAGGAACCCCUCCUCCAUUGCGCGUCUGUUCCGCUCUCCCUUGCUUUGCUCUGGCUCCUUACUGGAAUACAGGCGCAUCGCGGGCAUCAUCAUUGCAGCAUCUGACAUCCAUACCAUCCCAUCAGUGUUCGCCGGGACUCUUUUUGUUGUAAUUUUGGCUCCUCUUCUUGCUCACUAGUACUAGCUCUAUCGCCACCCCACGUUCCUUCUUACAAACAACUCCUCCCCUUCGGCGGCAUUUCUUCGGCGAUUUAUUCAUAGGUGUAUGGACACGAGCUGCCUGCCUGCCCGCGCCGUAGCUAGGUAGGGAGGAAGGAAGGGAGGAAGGGAGUGGGAGAAAGGGAGUGGGAGAAAGGAACUGGGGACUGACUGAUUCUUGAUGGGAAACGUCAAAAGGAAAACCUGUCAUGGCAACCAUGCAAAAUAACAGGGGUUUUCUGCACAGAGACGAUGGCAGGGUUAUCUUGCACUUUGUUAGUGGACCCUUGAAAUUUUCUUCUAAUUUCUACUCUUUCCUUUUUCCCCUUUACGUGCAGUUCCGGUUGGGAUGCCCCUUUCCCUCCUCCCCAACAGUUCGCCACUGCUCUGUUAGCCUUUUCAAGAAGUCGAAUAUAAAUCAGUGGAAAAUUUGCACUAUCCCAUGCCUAAUCCAGCGCGCAUUGGCGUACCACGCCGCGUGCUCCCUUUUCUUUUUUUUCCCCCCGACAUUCGGCUGUGUAUCAAUUGAAAGUCGACCCAAAAAGGACACCCAAACAAUUUUAUUUUUUUUAAAAAAAAAAUACAUAAAUAAAUAAAAAAUAAACAUUUUCCUACCAACAAAACAACCAUAAUAAUAACAAUAAACAAUAGGACUAUGACUCCUUCUACGCCUCCGUAUUCGAAGUGGAAAACCCCGCGCUGAAAGCAGUGCCGCUGGCCGUCCAGCAGAAGCAGAUUGUCGUCACGUGUAACUAUGAAGCGCGCCGGCGCGGCUUGCGCAAGUUGCAACUGAUCAAGGAGGCGAAGAAGGUGUGUCCGGACGUGGUGAUCGUGCUGGGCGAGGAUUUGACCAGGUUCCGCGAUGCGAGCAAGGAGAUCUAUACGUUUCUGAAGGGGUAUGUGUCGGGCUGGGGCGGGAGGGUUGAGAGGUUGGGGUUUGAUGAGGUAUUCUUGGACGUCACCUCUUUGGUGGACUACAACAUCGAGCUUCUCAACUACAAUGACCUAUCCAGCUCCUUUUUCCAUCUUGACAAGACAGACCCAACUCAGGGCUUUGCAUACGAUGCCCGCACAGUGUCGGGGCCUUCUUAUCCCCCAUCUCACCAAUCCGAUGAUGGCUCAGCCCCAUAUGCCACAUCAGACUCUCAGACACAUCCGUUCUCACCCAGUAGCAAAGACAAUGCAAAUAGCAACGCACUAUGCCAACGCCUGAUCCUUGGUUCGCAUCUAGCGGGCUACAUCCGCACCCAACUCGAAGAACACAAAGGUUACACAGCCACAGUGGGCAUCUCCACCUCCAAGCUUCUAGCAAAGCUUGCGGGAAACGUCCACAAGCCGCGGAACCAGACGACUCUUCUGCCUCCGUAUGAUUCCACCGAUGAGUGUGGCGCUUGUGCUGACGACGACGACGACAACCACAACGACAUCGACAUCGACAUCGAAAAUGACAAUGACAAUGACAAUGCUGACAAAGAACACGCCCAUGUCCAACAGGGCACCAUCACCCGUUUCCUCGACGCCCAUGACAUCAGCGCAAUCCCGGGCAUCGGUUUCAAAAUAGCCCAGAAGAUCCGCGCGCACAUUCUCGGCCGCCAGCCUACAUCGGGCAUGUACGAACAGCUCUCGAAAGAGGACCACGUCACCGUCAGAGAUGUCCGGCUAUAUCCGGGCAUGUGUCCGCGGAUGCUGAAUGAGAUACUACUAUCGCCGUCUUCCGGCGGCAUCAGCGGUGGAAGUGUCAGCGGCAGGGCUGGGGCCGGCGGAACAUGGCCUAGGGAUAUCGGAAUGAAGGUCUGGGGAUUACUUCAUGGGAUCGACCCGAGCCUCGUGGCGGAGGCUAGAGCUGCCCCCACGCAGAUCAGCAUUGAGGAUUCGUAUGGCGUUGGGAGGUUGGAGGGGUUAAAUGUGGUGCGAUUGGAGCUGGUGGGGCUGGUUCGGAGUCUUCUUAGGCGCAUGCUUGUUGACUUGACUGAGGAGGUUGAAGAGGAGGAAGCACAAGGAGAAGAGGAGGCAGAAGCAGAAAAAGAGGAGGAGGAGGAUGUUGCUGAAAGAACAAAAACGACGAAGAGACGAUGGCUUGCGCACCCGCGCACACUUCGGCUGUCGACACGCUCACGCCUUCCCCCGCUCACUGACGGGACGCGCGAUUUCAGCGCGGGGCGGGUGUCGAGGUCCUGUCCUCUACCGACGUAUGUGUUUGCUUCGCUGCUUAACAUUGGCAAUAUUAACCAUGGUCCUCGGAAUCAUCAGAGCCAUGAUAAGAGCGGUGGUGAUGGCUAUGGCAAUGACAACAAAGCCGUUGAUGGCAGGAGCUAUAGAAGGGGAGGAGGAGGAGGAACAUGGGAAUCAAUAGACCCUCUAGCCAGCCGCCUCGUUAACGAAACCAUCCUCCCGCUCUUUCGCAGACUGCAUCCGGAAAAAUCGGGCGCGGGAA
This 2813-nucleotide small RNA is filed under the name Histoplasma capsulatum var. duboisii H88. RNAcentral's name for it is "Histoplasma capsulatum H88 hypothetical RNA". Lineage: Eukaryota; Fungi; Ascomycota; Eurotiomycetes; Onygenales; Ajellomycetaceae. The record is from RNAcentral.